This 690-nucleotide ribosomal RNA is filed under the name uncultured Bacteroidota bacterium. RNAcentral's name for it is "bacterial SSU rRNA". It matches the Rfam family "Bacterial small subunit ribosomal RNA", at positions 62 to 753 of the family's 1533-position model. Lineage: Bacteria; Pseudomonadati; Bacteroidota. The record is from RNAcentral.
UCGAGGGGUAUAAGUCUUCGGAUUUAGAGACCGGCGCACGGGUGCGUAACGCGUAUGCAAUCUACCUUUCACAGAGGGAUAGCCCAGAGAAAUUUGGAUUAAUACCUCAUAGUAUAGCUGAACCGCAUGGUUCUACUAUUAAAGUCACAACGGUGAAAGAUGAGCAUGCGUCCCAUUAGCUAGUUGGUAAGGUAACGGCUUACCAAGGCUACGAUGGGUAGGGGUCCUGAGAGGGAGAUCCCCCACACUGGUACUGAGACACGGACCAGACUCCUACGGGAGGCAGCAGUGAGGAAUAUUGGUCAAUGGACGCAAGUCUGAACCAGCCAUGCCGCGUGCAGGAUGACGGUCCUAUGGAUUGUAAACUGCUUUUGCACAGGAAGAAACAACUCUACGUGUAGAGUCUUGACGGUACUGUGAGAAUAAGGAUCGGCUAACUCCGUGCCAGCAGCCGCGGUAAUACGGAGGAUCCAAGCGUUAUCCGGAAUCAUUGGGUUUAAAGGGUCCGUAGGCGGUUUAGUAAGUCAGUGGUGAAAGCCCAUCGCUCAACGGUGGAACGGCCAUUGAUACUGCUAGACUUGAAUUAUUAGGAAGUAACUAGAAUAUGUAGUGUAGCGGUGAAAUGCUUAGAGAUUACAUGGAAUACCAAUUGCGAAGGCAGGUUACUACUAAUGGAUUGACGCUGAUGGA